UCCUUGGUGGUUCAAUGGUUAGAACUUGGCACUCUUACAGCCAGAGCCCAGGUUUGAUCCCAGUCAGGGGA
RNAcentral lists this transfer RNA (71 nucleotides) under Bos taurus (domestic cattle). It matches the Rfam family "tRNA". From Rfam's summary of the family: Transfer RNA (tRNA) molecules are approximately 80 nucleotides in length. Their secondary structure includes four short double-helical elements and three loops (D, anti-codon, and T loops). Further hydrogen bonds mediate the characteristic L-shaped molecular structure. tRNAs have two regions of fundamental functional importance: the anti-codon, which is responsible for specific mRNA codon recognition, and the 3' end, to which the tRNAs corresponding amino acid is attached (by aminoacyl-tRNA synthetases). tRNAs cope with the degeneracy of the genetic code in two manners: having more than one tRNA (with a specific anti-codon) for a particular amino acid; and 'wobble' base-pairing, i.e. permitting non-standard base-pairing at the 3rd anti-codon position. The record is from Rfam by way of RNAcentral. Lineage: Eukaryota; Metazoa; Chordata; Mammalia; Artiodactyla; Bovidae. RNAcentral also lists the same sequence under 1 other name.